UUCUUGCUGUCGAGGGUCACCACUGUAG
RNAcentral lists this non-coding RNA (28 nucleotides) under Bombyx mori (domestic silkworm). Lineage: Eukaryota; Metazoa; Arthropoda; Insecta; Lepidoptera; Bombycidae. The record is from RNAcentral.